RNAcentral lists this ribosomal RNA (886 nucleotides) under uncultured archaeon. RNAcentral describes it as "bacterial SSU rRNA". It matches the Rfam family "Archaeal small subunit ribosomal RNA", at positions 29 to 922 of the family's 1478-position model. The record is from RNAcentral.
GCAAAGGGGAAUGAUCCAAGCAUGCGAGUCAUUGUAGCAAUACAAGGCAGACGGCUCAGUAACGCGUAGCCAACCUAACCUAUGGACGGGAAUAAUCUCGGGAAACUGAGAAUAAUGCCCGAUAGAACACUAUAUCUGGAAUGGUUUGUGUUCCAAAUGAUUUAUCGCCAUAGGAUGGGACUGCGGCCUAUCAGUUUGUUGGUGAGGUAAUGGCCCACCAAGACUAUUACAGGUACGGGCUCUGAGAGGAGUAGCCCGGAGAUGGGUACUGAGACACGGACCCAGGCCCUAUGGGGCGCAGCAGGCGAGAAAACUUUGCAAUGUGCGAAAGCACGACAAGGUUAAUCCGAGUGGUUUCUGCUAAAGGAACCUUUUGUCGGUCCUAGAAACACCGAUGAAUAAGGGGUGGGCAAGUUCUGGUGUCAGCCGCCGCGGUAAAACCAGCACCUCAAGUGGUCAGGAUGAUUAUUGGGCCUAAAGCAUCCGUAGCCGGCUCUGUAAGUUUUCGGUUAAAUCUGUACGCUUAACGUACAGGCUGCCGGGAAUACUGCAUAGCUAGGGAGUGGGAGAGGUAGACGGUACUCGGUAGGAAGGGGUAAAAUCCUUUGAUCUAUUGAUGACCACCUGUGGCGAAGGCGGUCUACCAGAACACGUCCGACGGUGAGGGAUGAAAGCUGGGGGAGCAAACCGGAUUAGAUACCCGGGUAGUCCCAGCUGUAAACUAUGCAAACUCAGUGAUGCAUUGGCUUGUGGCCAAUGCAGUGCUGCAGGGAAGCCGUUAAGUUUGCCGCCUGGGAAGUACGUACGCAAGUAUGAAACUUAAAGGAAUUGGCGGGGGAGCACCACAAGGGGUGAAGCCUGCGGUUCAAUUGGAGUCAACGCCGGG